Molecule: ribosomal RNA, 546 nt
Filed under: Centromochlus heckelii
Lineage: Eukaryota; Metazoa; Chordata; Actinopteri; Siluriformes; Auchenipteridae
Description: partial large subunit ribosomal RNA
Rfam family: Bacterial large subunit ribosomal RNA
Source: RNAcentral
AGGUCUUGCCUGCCCAGUGACAAUAUUAAACGGCCGCGGUAUUUUGACCGUGCGAAGGUAGCGCAAUCACUUGUCUUUUAAAUGAAGACCUGUAUGAAUGGCGGAACGAGGGCUUAACUGUCUCCCCUUUCUAGUCAAUGAAAUUGAUCUGCCCGUGCAGAAGCGGACAUAAAAAUACAAGACGAGAAGACCCUUUGGAGCUUUAGAUAAAAGAUUAACCAUGUCAAGAACACAAACAAGUUAAACUAAAUGGUAUCUAAUCCCUAUCUUCGGUUGGGGCGACCACGGUGAGAAAACAAAGCUCCCGAGAGGACUGGGAAUAAUUCCUAAAACCAAGAAAAACACUUCUAAGUAACAAAACAUUUUGACCAACAAGAUCCGGCUAAACGCCGACCAACGAACCAAGUUACCCUAGGGAUAACAGCGCAAUCCCCUUUAAGAGUCCAUAUCGACAAGGGGGUUUACGACCUCGAUGUUGGAUCAGGACAUCCUAAUGGUGCAGCCGCUAUUAAGGGUUCGUUUGUUCAACGAUUAAAGUCCUACGUG